Molecule: non-coding RNA, 1173 nt
Organism: Paramuricea clavata
Lineage: Eukaryota; Metazoa; Cnidaria; Anthozoa; Malacalcyonacea; Plexauridae
Source: the annotation of a GenBank genome assembly
AAAUAGUAUAACUUUUCAAGCUCACAGGAUCAAUACAGAUGUUGGGCUUAAGACCGAAUGGCAAUCAUAGAAGAGCAACAUUUCUAUUAACGUAUUAAAUUGUGUUUUUGAAUGUCAAUUAACGUAUAUUAUUUAGCGAGAGAGCCCGGUAAGUGGGAUGAAUUUCUCUUGUGUUUAUCAGUGAGAAAAUGUUCUCCCGCUUGCUGGGACAAUGCUGUUGUUUUGAUAAUAGCUUGCGGGUGUAUCUUUGAACUUUCGUCCAAGCGACCGGGCUAGCCAGCUUGUAAGUGUUUAUAUAUAGUGGAGAAAUUUCCAUCGCGGUAAGCUAGAUCUGGCCUCUUCAAGCGAGAUCACGACAACCAGGCCAGCCUGCUGGUCCAUAUAAGCGCAUGAUAAUUUUUACUAUAAAAGUAAUUACACAUUGAGAUCCCACUUACCCAGCAUGGGCUCCACCUUUGAAUUUACUAUAUGAGUAAAUUGUUAAACAGGUCCGAAUUUAUCAAUAUGAUAAAUUCGCGACACAUGAUGGCUAACACUAUAAUCCUUACCGUAACCCCAACCCUAACCACUAACCCCUAACCCUAAUUAAUCUAACUUUUUUUAAACUUUUCUGAAAAUCUGACUUUUAAACUUUUUUUUAUUUUUUUUUGAAAAUUUUGAAAAUCUCUAGAAAUCUUUACCUGUGAUUCUUAAAAACAGUGCAUGUGAUGCAUUAAGCAUUCAGUGCAGUCGCCAAACUCAAAUCGUGCGUUCUGGCGCUACUUUAAAGGAUACGGGCAUUUGUUUCACAUCGAAUGCAAUCUGCGCCCGACAUAAACGUGUGAAGAUUUGUAAAAAGCACUUGACAUCCAAUCUUCACCAGGAAAGACAGCAAAAUCAGCAGUCCAUCAUUUUGACCCAUCGUAGGACGUUCAAGAGACUGAUGGCGAUGAAUGAGUCGAGCGACGAGGACAGAGAUAUUUAUCGCGACAGCGAGUUUGACCUAACCUGAGUAUCAGGCCCUCGGUAUUGAAAGAAGGCCUGACACAAUUCGCCUCUAAAGCCAUGUUCAAUAUCCAGAAUCUGGAUGUUAUGCUGAUUGGCUAAGAGACAAUAAAACGCAUCAUGUGAUUCAAACCGGAAAUAUAUGACCGGCGUAUGUAAACACCAAAAAUAGAAUUUGUAAUUUUGUCA